UACGAAGGGGGCUAGCGUUGCUCGGAAUCACUGGGCGUAAAGCGCACGUAGGCGGAUUGUUAAGUCAGGGGUGAAAUCCUGGAGCUCAACUCCAGAACUGCCUUUGAUACUGGCGAUCUUGAGUCCGGGAGAGGUGAGUGGAACUGCGAGUGUAGAGGUGAAAUGCGUAGAUAUCGUAAGGAAGACCAGUGGCGAAGGCGGGUCUCUGGACAGUUCCUGACGCUGAGGCACGAAGGCCAGGGGAGCAAACGGG
Molecule: ribosomal RNA, 253 nt
Filed under: uncultured bacterium
Lineage: Bacteria
Description: partial 16S ribosomal RNA
Rfam family: Bacterial small subunit ribosomal RNA
Source: RNAcentral